RNAcentral lists this unclassified non-coding RNA (695 nucleotides) under Hevea brasiliensis (rubber tree). Lineage: Eukaryota; Viridiplantae; Streptophyta; Magnoliopsida; Malpighiales; Euphorbiaceae. The record is from RNAcentral.
GAAAAAUAGCUUAUUUAUUCCAGACAUGUAAAUCAUAUUAGAAACAGUACAACUAAAGACACAAAAAAAAUCGCGAUGUCUCAAGAAAGAGUAAUGGCACUUCCGCAUAGUUUUUCUAGUUCGUCUUCCAAAACCUUUUGCAGGUUUGCCUUGGUUCGCCUAUAGAUCCAACCUUGUGAGCUCUGAUCCCAAUCAAACCUUGAGGGACCGCUCACUGGUGAAGACAUCCAAAUCUGCCUAUUUGGCGUCUGUUUGUUUAUCACGUAGGUUCCCAGGCUCCCAAGCUUCAGCGUUAAAACCUCAUUCCCAUAAUCCACAUCAAAACCAUCAAUGUCAACUGAGUCCCCAUAUUCCUCCAACUUAUCUAGCAAGUCAUGGAUAGUGGCAUUAGCCAGUCUGUGAUACUCAUCUUCCUGCAGCAGAGAUCGGUAAUCGAUAGCAGCAGGACCUUCAGAAGCAUCUUGAAGAGGUGACGAGCGGGAACAAUAGCUUCUACAAACUUCUGAAAGUAACGAUUUGGAUAUAAUGGUCGAAGGUUCUAGAAGAUAUUUAUGCGUAGAAGCAGAAAGAAAUGAUCUUUGUAUUAAUGAAGAAGAAUUAGGUUUGAGAGCUCUGCAUAGCGAUUUGCGAAGUAGAAGCAGCUUCCGUGAACAAGAAGAAGCCAUUUUUGCUCUUUACAACAGUUUCCACUUCCU